AUCCCGGAGACCCUUAGGAAACUAGGGGUGCUUCCAUCUGGAAGAAUCUGGAGACAGGUGCUGCAUGGCUGUCGUCAGCUCGUGUCGUGAGAUGUUGGGUUAAGUCCCGCAACGAGCGCAACCCUUGCCUUUAGUUGCCAGCAGUUCGGCUGGGCACUCUAAAGGGACUGCCGGUGUUAAACCGGAGGAAGGUGGGGAUGACGUCAAGUCCUCAUGGCCUUUAUGACCAGGGCUACACACGUACUACAAUGGCCGAUACAAAGGGCAGCGACACUGCGAGGUGAAGCCAAUACCCGUAAAAUCGGUCUCAGUCCGGAUUGGAGUCUGCAACUCGACUCCAUGAAGUUGGAAUCGCUAGUAAUCGUGGAUCAGCAUGCCACGGUGAAUACGUUCCCGGGCCUU
This 402-nucleotide ribosomal RNA is filed under the name uncultured Desulfobulbus sp. Its description in RNAcentral is "bacterial SSU rRNA". It matches the Rfam family "Bacterial small subunit ribosomal RNA", at positions 986 to 1382 of the family's 1533-position model. The record is from RNAcentral. Lineage: Bacteria; Pseudomonadati; Thermodesulfobacteriota; Desulfobulbia; Desulfobulbales; Desulfobulbaceae.